Unclassified non-coding RNA from Pongo abelii (Sumatran orangutan), 148 nucleotides. It matches the Rfam family "Metazoan signal recognition particle RNA". Rfam says of the family: The signal recognition particle (SRP) is a universally conserved ribonucleoprotein. It is involved in the co-translational targeting of proteins to membranes. NCBI's taxonomy places the organism in Eukaryota, Metazoa, Chordata, Mammalia, Primates, Hominidae. The record is from Ensembl.
GCCAGGCAUGGUGGCAUGUGCCUGUAAUCCCAGCUACUCGGGAGGCUGAGGCAGGAGAAUUGCUUGAACCCAGGAGGCGGAGGUUGCAGUGAGCCAAGAUCGCACCACUGCACUCCAGCCUGGGUGACAGAGUAAGACCCUGUCUCAA